GGGAGUUAAAGCCUUACUGGCAGAUGGUUUUCUUCGUCACUAAAUAGGAGGAGCUUUGCUCUGCUUGGUGAACCAUUAGGUGCUUUUGAGGCCAGCCUGUCCCUGAGACAUUGCCUAAAAAGGCUGGACUUGGGGGAGCAUUGGGGAGAGGGAUCGUUUCUCCCACUCUGGCACUAAGAGUAGAAAUGCUCUCAAACUCUGCUUUUCCACCUUUUUCUUCUCCGCAUUCCAGAAAGGCUGCAGAGAAUCUUUCCAAGUGUUGGAAUAGACAGUAAUCUAAUGUUACAAAUACAGAGCAUAUUCUAAGUGUAUUUUGUUAGUUCUUGGCAAUGGCGGAUUGGUCUUGCUCAAGUUUAUUCUGUAAAAAAAAAAGUGAAUUGCAGAAAGAGGGAAUAUAGAUUGGAUGAAAUGCAAAGCAGGGAAUAAUAAUGCUAGAUUUGGAAAGGGGAAAGAAAAAGGCGAGUUAACUGAACUCUUGCAGUUGGCCAAAAUGUAGGGGAAAGGAAGUAUGCUGUCGGUACAUUUCAGUAUAAUCGUUUCUGAAGUGCUGAUCUAUCAGAAAUUUGUCCAUUUAAUCUAAAUUCCAUUACUGAGGCCUUCAGUGCCAAGAUUCACUAUCUUUAGAAAACUAGCUUACAGUAAAAAAAGACAGUGUGGUGGAAGUAAACAGAAUUAUAUGCCGGUUAAAAGCAAACAUAGUAGUUAAGACAUCAAAGCGUUAGUAUCAAAGCAAAGAAAAUUAUCCCUGGUUAAAGGGCAAAAGGAGACAGAAAUAUGGCAGAUCUGUACCACGGAGGGAGUUAUGCAGGUCAUGUUGCCACCACUUAGAAGACCUCUUUUUCUGGUUUCAGAGAUAGAGAGAUCAGAAAGUAGGAUCUCCCUGAGCAGUCUCAAAAAUCAGGAGGAGACUCUUGUAGCUCUCUUAACAUUUCACUGACCCAAGUUCCCUUCUUUGAAACAGCAUAAGCCCUAUUGGAAACAGAGAAGAGUAAGUCUUUUGGCACACUCCAGAAUUCAUCUUUCCUCUUGUCCUUAGUUUAAUGAGACAAGCAACUUUUCUAGAAAAGUGUAUGUCUGCUGAUUAAACACUCUUUAAAAUAUCUUAGUGGACAAAACUGUUUGCAUUUGUCUGUCCUUGCUUGCAUCAUUAAUCUCUGGGCUAUUUAACUUGGUAUCUGUUAGUAUAGAACAUAAUGAGUGUUUAGCUUUAGCUGAUUCAAAUUCAUCACAUUCAGGCAGACUAAGUACAGUUUAAAUACAAAAAAUACUAAAUAUCUAACAGGGGGGUUGGUGAUAAUAGAUUAUAGAGGCCUCCAUAAAAUCUUUUUCAUUUAUUCUACUUUGCCACAGAUGUCUCUCUUAAAUGUUCAGGUAGAGCCAUUUUCCCCCACCCAAAAUACAGUUUGAGAGUAAGGAGUUAAAGGUUCUGUUAGAAAGCUCACUUAACUCACUCAGUUCUUCUC
RNAcentral lists this long non-coding RNA (1463 nucleotides) under Salvator merianae (Argentine black and white tegu). RNAcentral describes it as "lncRNA (ENSSMRG00000001773.1)". The record is from RNAcentral. Lineage: Eukaryota; Metazoa; Chordata; Lepidosauria; Squamata; Teiidae.